AACCUAGCACACCUGCGGUGUGUACCUGCGGAGGGAUCAUUACACAACAAAAUAUGAAGGUCUGGCUUCGCGGCCGGCUGAAGUAUUUUUUUUCACCCAUGUCUUUUGCGCACUUGUUGUUUCCUGGGCGGGUUCGCCCGCCACCAGGACCAAACCAUAAACCUUUUUUUUAUGUAGUUGCAAUCAGCGUCAGUAAAAACAAUGUAAUUAUUACAACUUUUAACAACGGAUCUCAGAUCG
RNAcentral lists this unclassified non-coding RNA (240 nucleotides) under soil metagenome. RNAcentral's name for it is "partial contains 5.8S ribosomal RNA, internal transcribed spacer 2, and large subunit ribosomal RNA". The record is from RNAcentral.